GAAAUGCGAUAAGUAGUGUGAAUUGCAGAAUUCAGUGAAUCAUCUAAUCUUUGAACGCACAUUGCGCCCCUUGGUAUUCCAUGGGGCAUGCCUGUUCGAGCGUCAUUUGUACCCUCAAGCUCUGCUUGGUGUUGGGUGUUUGUCCCGUCUCCGCGCGUGGACUCGCCCCAAAGUGAUUGGCAGCCGGCGUACUGGUCCCGGAGCGCAGCACAUGUCGCGCAAACGAGUGCCUUGGUACGGCGGCGUCCAUAAGCCCCUCUCUCACGCUCUUGACCUCGGAUCAGGUAGGGAUACCCGCUGAACAUAAGC
This 309-nucleotide unclassified non-coding RNA is filed under the name plant metagenome. RNAcentral's name for it is "partial contains 5.8S ribosomal RNA, internal transcribed spacer 2, and large subunit ribosomal RNA". The stretch from base 1 to 105 matches the Rfam family "5.8S ribosomal RNA", at positions 50 to 154 of the family's 154-position model. The record is from RNAcentral.